CUCAGCCUUCCAAGGGUCUGUCCUUACCUGCAGCCUCGUUGGCAACUUUGUAGGUGCUCCUUCGUGUUCACAGCCCUGGUGAUCCUGUGGAUUGGUAUCAGUGGUACUGGUGAGGGGGCUGUGCAUCGAGGUCUGUAAGCCAUUUCAUGAGAGCCAAGGCUGGUGGCUGUCAGAGGAGAUGUUUAUAUGUUGAUAGAAUAUUGUAGAAGCUUUAAAAAAAAAGUGCAUUUCCUAAUUAUUUUCCCAAUUUCUCAUUCUGAUCAAGAGCUCCUGUGCCCAUCCUCUGGCUUCCGGGCUGCCUCUUCUACCUGUUAUUCCCUUUCCUCCAUGAUUUUAACCUCUUACUCUCGUCUCCACAGUCUGGAAACAUGUGUGAGUUUUUAUAUCUUUGAAAAAAACAAACAAAGUCUCUUCUGGAUUCUGUGCCCUCUGUGGGUUGUCUCUGCUCUCCUCUGUCACAGUGAAACUCUUCAGAGGAAGUAUCCAUGCUCCCUGCCUCCGUUAAGCACUUCUCAGCCAUACUCCUGCCCCUGCGCAUCAUUUGCUGCCCUCCCAGACUAUCUGGUAAAGGCCACCCUCCCUUCUGUGGAGCUCUGGGUUCUUAUCUUACUUAACCUCUCCUAGGAUUGGACAGUCUUGACCACUUCCUUUUGAAAGCCCUUCCUUCCUGUGAUUUUAUGGUUCCCUAAUCUCUUCGGCCCCAUUCACGUCUUCUCCCCUGUUAACACCGGUUGCUCCUCAAGGUCUCAUCCUCUGUCCUGUGGCCCCACCCACUUGAGUGGCUUUGCCAUCACUUUCCAGCUGAGGACCAGCUCUCCUAGUUGAUUGCCGCCAGCCCACUGCUCCCAGAUGGUAUUUCUCCAUCCACCCAGUCACCCAAGCCUGGAACCUGAUUCAUCUUACACUGUCCCUUUUUUAAUUGGCCUGCUGCCUACCUCUCCAACUUCUUGGCUGCAUGGAACUCCUUAUAUUUCUCCAAUAGGCCUUUCUGCUUCAAAUCACCAUGCCUGUUUCAUCUGCCUUGCAAUAGCUGACAAGUUUCUACUGUUUUGUUAAAGACGUGACUGAACUGUUACUGCCAGCUAGGGAGGAUGUCUGGGCUAACCCUGGUAAUACUUUGGUAUUACCUGGUGUGGACCAGGCUCAUGUUGCUUUUAUAGUCUCAAAGCUUAGUCAACUACUUAGCAUAGGGUUAUGUUCUCAUAUCUUAUAUUGAUAGUGGUUUUUCAUGUCUUAUUACAUGGGCAUCCUGUUUUUUUUUUUUUUUAAACUUAAUAGUCAAUCCAGGCAGUGGUGGUGAUGAGUCUUGCAUUAACUUUAUCCCUGGUUUAGUGGUUUAAAAUGGCAACAUGUGGGCCUGUCUUGUACCCUCCACACAGUGCUGUGGAACGUGUUUCAUCCACCAAACUUGGUGAAUUAUGUAGGAUGUACAAGUUUGACCUCCCCUUUGGCUCAUGUUCACGUCUAUCAAAAUUCCUUGAGGAGGCCAGCCUUUUAGUUUUAAAGUAGGAUGUCGGCUUCAGAGUGCUAACUAGAAGAGUUUGGUGGGAGAACAUUCUGUGGGAUUCCAGAAGAGCCUGAGUCUGUCUCCAGAGGUUAUGAGUCAGUUUUCUCCUGGCUCUCAUAAUUGGCCUCAUGCAGGCUGGAGUCUUCUUGAGCUCUGCACUGCUGAGUUAGAGCUGUUCCCACACUUGGAUCCUGAACCCAAAAGGUUUUUUUCUAGCAAGUGGGCAUUUUCACUUCUCAUCAAGCCAUUAUAAGAAUAAUGUAGUGAUAUACCAUAGCAUGGCUCCAGGAAUUGGAAUUUCUGAAAUUAGACUGCUAGCCUUUUUUCUAACAACCUGUGGGACUUCUUCCCAAAGAGAUUUGCCCAAGUUAUAUGUGUUCAACCAUGAUAAUUUUGAGGGACAAAAGUCAGCUCUAUAGGUUGGAGACAGUUGGGGGAAAAAGGAAAAGGGAACUUGCAGAGGACUGGAGCUUUCCUUUGUGUUGAGCAGGAAAUCUUGGCUGUAAUGUAAUGGCCUUGACAGGAACCAAGGAGCUGCCUCAAAUUAUGAGGGCAAACGGGUGGGUGUUUUCAUCUUUUGGAGAACAGGGAUAGGAAAUACAUCUGCAGGCACGAGGAACCUAGGGUCUUAGUGCUUCUCUUUAAUGAUCUGUGUAGGUGCUGGGUCCGUGUAUUUUCUGAAUCUCAAACUGAGAAGUGUUCACCCACUCUCUGCCUCAUGCUGGACUCGGUGCAGCUCUUCAGCCCCCAUGUUAACCAGGGACAUUUCCAAGUUCCUUCUUGUUGCACAUAGUUGACCAGCAAAGCAAUUGGCAACAGAUUUCUCGUUCUUGAGACAACAGGGAGGAAGUUAAUUAACAGAAGUAGCCCUGUUAUGACAAGAUGGUUCACCAGUAAAGAAAGUUCCCAGGAGGAGUCUUUGGUUCUUGCCCUAAGUCAGGUAAUAACAGUGGAGCAUUGGGGUCCUCAGGUUGUUAGAAUCAGCUCUUCUCUUUUGGAGAGAGUGUUCUACUUAGUACACGCAGCCCCACUGGCUUUGAGAAACACAAGUCUGUUCUCUGACAUACACAUCCUAAAAGACACGGCCAGAUGGUUCCUUUUUGCUUUUUCUUUAAAUGAGAACUAGAAAAAGAUUUCGUCCCUGAGCUGGCUGUGGCUUAUGACAUACUGGCAUUUAUUCUGCCAAAUAGGGGAGUUGGUGGCUUUGUCUGGGGACUUUUAUGAGAGGAGCUCUUUGACUUCUCCUAGGGACCUCCCUUGCUUUCAUCUCUUAAAUGCUCUGGUCUGCCUGUAAGUCCUGAUUUAUGCCUGCUGUCUUGCAGUUAGUAUUGACACUGCUCUCUUAACUUUCAGAAGCUUCCCAGUUUGGAUGAUAAAUUAUAUGGUUUCUCUAUCUAUUUGUUAGACUAAGCCCGCGUUUCUCAAACUGGCACCACUGACAUUUGGGCUGGAUACUCUGUUGUUGUAGGCUGGGUGGGGGUGGGACUUAUCCUGAGUACUAUGGGAUGCUUAGCAGCAUCCUGGCUUCUGCCCACUCGAUGCCAGUAGCACCCUCCCUCUCCAGUUGUGACAAUCAAAAAUGCCCCCAGACAUUGUUAUUGAAUGUUCCCUGGGGGGCAAAAGUGCCCCCACUUACUUCAGAACGAUUGGACUAAGUAUUGCAGAUGGGUUUUAUUCUAAGUGUCAGCUCCGAUCAAUCAGUACUGCCUUGCCUAGCUCUGUGUUGGCAAGGAUGUGAGAGUCAGUGCCAGAGAAUGCUGGGAUAGAUUAGUGCUGUCGGCCAUGGGCACAAGAUGAGGCUGUGGAGGUAGGAGAAGGAAAGUGCCAGAAUGCUUGAGUACAUUACUCCGGCACUGGGAGCGCUGGCAAUCUGGGUGGAGAGACAGACAUGUUUGUAGACAGAGAUCUGUGGCCAAAGCUGUGUAACAGGAUGAGAGGCCACCUACACCUGGUGUCAACACGACUGCAGCAGGUGUCAGGUGUCUUGAGAGUUUAGAAGAAGGUGUUGCCGCCGGGGCCUGGGGUGGUAGAAAGUCACCGCGGAACAGCCCGCGGAGCUCGGAUCCUGUGGAAACGGCAGGUGUGUGUCAAUAAAUGGUUAUGGCACAGCCCAGAUUGCCGGGCCCAGUUUUGUUUGUUUUAAUCCUCAGCCUUGGGUUUAAUUAACGUUGUGGUGACUUGGUAGGUUCACCCUCCCAACAGUGGCUUUCCCGUUGGGUUAAUUUGUUGUCCUGGGCAUUACUGGGUCUUCCUACCUUGUGGUUGACGCGUUCCUAAGGAUUCUGUGAAAAGCGGAAGGCUCUGAAUGAUAUGAGGCCGGGAAGAUGACAGAAGACUGAAGGCAUGUGUCCGCUCUGGGGGACAGGGUACCAGGGGCUGCCCUGGGGAAUUUGGGGGUCUCCCUCUGUGGGAAAGACUGCCUGUGUUUUCACAGGAGACCCAGCCAGUUAAAGAGCCAGUUAUCUCCCCCAGGAGGAGAAGAAAAGGACUCUCUUCUAUGUUAAUUAGUUAGAACACCGGGUUUGGUUCACUUUUGGUGACUCUGGUAUUUUAAUGAGCUCCCAGCGUUGCUGGGGGAGGGGCAGCAGGUCUGCUCUCUUUCCAGACCUGAACUAAUCUGAGAACGAUUUAACCCUUUGCUCCACGCUAGUCCCACCUCUGCUGCUCAGUGCUGGCUGCCCCAGGGUGGCUGGUCACCAAGGGCUGGGUGAGUGUCCACCUGCCUCUCGGGGCUUGAGUAGCCUUUCUGGGUAAGCAAAGAAGGGGCGAAUUUGAUCAUUCUCUUCACAUUUGAGGAUGAUCCUCCUGCCUCACAAGUAGAACGACAGGCCCAGAAAUGUUAACUGACUGUUGUCCAAAGGCCCCCAGAGAGCCAGCCCCAGAAACCAGUUCUCCCACUCCCACCCUGGUGCCCGUCCUCCAGGGCUCACCGCUGGUCCUCCUCCCUGGCUGGAGUUGGAGGGAUGCUCCCUGUUGGCUUGGCCGGUUAGGACCCUCUCUCCACCUUUACCUGGCCUUGGUGACUGUUGUUCCCAUGGAGCUGUCUACCCUCUAAGGUCUUCCAGAGGGAAAGCGCUGUGUUGGGGAGGCGCUCAGAAGUGCUUCAAUGGCCCCUGCAUAAAGCAGACUCCAAGAGGACAGGCAGCCGAGGAAGCCGCAGAUAUGACGAUUCUACUUAGGCAGGAAUGUGCCGGCCAGGAGGCUUGGGCCCGUCAGGGAGCCCCGCCAGCCGGCUGCACACAAAGGCCCCGCUGUCUGCAGGGAGGCUGGGAGGCAGUAGCUUACCCUAGGGCCGCACUCUGUCGCCCCUGCCGCCACAUGGUCACCCCUGCCAGCCGGCUGUGUUGGAUGCAGCCCUGCUGGGGUUGGGGGCCUGAGAGGCUGGCAGAUACACCACAGCAGGAGGGUGUGUGUGUGUGGGGGUCCAGCUUUGACAGGUGACACGGCGCUUCUGGAGCAGGUCAUCAGAGGGGUCUAGUGUGCUGGGUCUCUCUUGGCCUCAGCUUGAAGAAGAUGCUUACCUUCUGAGCAGAAACUGUGUGAAGAGAGGACGGGGUUUGGACUAGUUGGAGUCUGGCCCUGUUGUGUCCUGACCGACCGGGGUCGACUCUGGACCUUCAUUUUCUAGUCUGCCUCUUGACUGGAUGAACGAACUUGGCAGUGUUACCCCAAGGAUCGAAAGAGAGGCCGUGUCCUGUGACGAAUGUCUGAUAGAAGGUAGCAGUGGGGCCUGGAGAUGCUGUGUCUUGAAUGAGCAGUCCCUGCCUGCUUCGAGAACUGCUCAUCACACACUCUCCCACUUGCUUGAAGAAGGUGAUAAGCAAAGGCUUCCUCAGGUGGCUUCUUAAAGUCUCUUCGGUGAGCCUCCUCUGAGGGGCUAGGCUCUGGGGACCAGCACACACAGGAAGUGGCUCAUCUAGCUGCCAUCCCCGCAGCGACCACGUGACUCACGGGCGUGUACUGGCAAAUGCAGCCUCCGGCUUGUCUGACCUGGUCCUUGGGCCUUGGGGUUGACGAGGCCUUGAGGAUGGGUCUUCAGGAGGGUGUCGUGCACACAAGAGACAGUUCCUCCCUGGCUCUGGAGCAAUUCUCUGUUUGUGGGCUGGUGAGCUACCAGAGGGGCGUCGUGACAGGCAGCCCUGGGCCUGCCACCCCAACACCAGAGCCCCCACAUAGAGGCUGCCUGGUCAGGCCCCCCAGAGGAAAAGUCGGCUCCUGGAAUGAGGCUGCCUACUUACAAUGUGGUCACGCCUGUCAGUCUCAUUUCUAUAAAAUGUUCUUCCUAGAAGAGGAAUCUGUGGUUAAUGGGUCCUUUUCAAGGAUUCAGCUCUUGGCUUGCUUUUUUGUUUUGUUUUUGAUUCAACCCAGCAGGCCGGCUUUGCUUUGCUCUGGGCCGACUAAAGUGGGAGAGAAGAAAGAAGUGACCUCUCGGAACCUGAAACUUUGCGGGUGGCCGAGAACUUGGCCCCAUAUCUCUGUUCCUUCACAUCUACCUCCCCGCAACAUGCAAACAACAAAAACUCACCUGCAACGUCUCUAAUGGCUAACCUGCAUUGUGCUUUUAGCCUCUCUGCUGCCUACAAGCUCGUUGUUCCUGUUUUCUCAAGUUCUUGACUUGAGAGAAUGUGUCCUGAUAUGUCAGGGCUGGACCCUGGUGCACUUGGAGGAGAGGAUUGCUUUCCUUUGCCUGCCUGAUUUCUGGAAUUAAGCUAUCAGAGGAGAACAAGAUAAAUUCCUCCAAACUAAAGAGAUAAGGGAGCCAAGAGUCUGCAGGCAUAAAACUCAGGAUAACUUCAGUGGCUUCUAUAAAAUUCCUCUAAUCUUGACCAAGGCUAAUGGCCCAGUGUCGACCUUUGUAAUGACUCCAUGCUUCUGGCAAACAGGUGGUGCUGAUUGGGGCUCGGGUGUCAUUCCAGCUGGACUUCCUAACUCUUAUUGAAGAGCUGGUCUCUCCAACCCAAGAUGGACUGCAAACACAAUAGGGCAGACCUCUAAGCUGAAAGCCAAGCGCAGAAGCCAUGUUCUGGGGGCAAGUGCUGGCCCCACAGUCCCAGCCCAUCUUUUAUUUCAUUUGAUUGUCCUUCUCGAGACAUCAGAUCCCCUGGCUUCUGCAGGGCGCAUCUUCACGUGCCACUGAGGUUUGUCUCCCUGGCACUGGUGUUCCUGGUUCUUUAAGUUGGACUGAACCCAUCAAUGGGACGUUCGCAAAGCCCGCUGUCUCCUGGGAGGGCUGUUUGUGCUCCAACUUGAAGCCGGGUUUGUCCUGAGCUUGCCUGGUGGUGUCCAUCUCAUCCCCUGUCUGUGUCCCUUUGUCUUUCCCGCCUGUCCUCUUGGCGGCCGAGCUGUGACCCGUGGCUUAGUGCUCUCUGUCCAGGACUCCUGCCUUCUUUCCUUUUCCAUGAGGGGUUAUUUCAGAGGGUAAAACUGGCCUCAGGGGUUGUUAGGUCUCUCCAGAUGUCUUCAUGACCUUUGCUGUGGGCUGUCUGUACCCACAUGUGGCUUUUGAGUCUCCCUCCAUCCUGGCAGACCCUUGAGAGCUGCCUCAGCAGCAGCCCUACUCUGAGAAGUUCUUGCUCCCAGCCCUGCCUGCCAGAAGCAGUGGUUUUGGCAGGUUUACCUGUGCACUAGGAGCUUACCUGCGUGAACCACUGGAUGCAUUUUGACCAAGAGGGGGCUUGUCUGGGGCCUCCUAACAGAAUGAAAGAGCAGUCCCUUGAGUUUCUUCCUAAUUGACAGGGGUGCUGGUGGGGGAGGCCUACCAGACCUCUGCCCCUGUGCCUGGGAACUAGGGCCUCUGCAGGGUUCACACCCCGACCCUACAGGGGGAGAGCAUGGGCAGAGGCACCGAGGGGGGUCCCCUGGCUUCUGGUUCGAGUGUCUGCUUCGUCUGGGCCCACCUUUGUUCCUGGAGAGAACACGGCUGGUGGUACCGUGUGUGCUUGGGAGCCACCAGUGGGUUUUUUUCCUGCUCACUGACUGCAGUGGGGUGCAGGUAGGUUCCUCUGGGUGCCAUGAUGCAAGGCCGCCGAGGCUUGGCAGCAACCCCCUAACAGGAGGCAUUAUUUUGCCCCCUCUCUUCCUCACCUCUGUCUGCUUCCCAUGCACUUAAAUAACCCAAGCUCAUGACUUGGGCUGGCUUUCGAAAAAGUAGCAGACAGCUUGCAAGGCUGGCAUGACCCUUCGUGAGUGGGAAUAGCCCGUCAUAUGCAGCUCUGAGGCCCUGGCCUAUGGGAGCAGCAUGGGGAAGAAUCUGGAGGCCUGGCUUCUUAGCCCAGCUUACAUGCUUUGACCAAGUCAUUGGGUUUCUCAGAACUCGGUGUCCUGACUUCUAGAUGCAGGUAAUGGGACCACCUGUUGUCUAGAACCUUCCCAGCCCCCACGUCUGAGCUCAAACCCACAAGUCUCUCCACAUUUUACACCUGGCAGAGUGCCUGGUGUUUUCACCCACUGGGACCAAAAUGCUGUCCCUGAGAGGGUCUCGGGAGAAGUAACCUGCAGCCCUGGAAUUUGUCCCUGCAUCUCGAGGCUUCUGUCUCAGGCAACACCGAGCAGGGGUCCGACAGUGGGCAACACGGGGGUCUGCUCUGCAGUUUUAGCAAAAAACCAGCCCCCUUGGUGUGGACAGUUGCAGGCCCACUGGUCGUGCCAUCUCUCACCCGUUCAGCUGGGCUGUCUCAAGCUGCAGCUGCCCUGUGCAUUCACUUUUGCUUGGGCUGUAUCUGCAUCUCAGUCGGUUCUGGAGAAAAACCCUGUUGCUCUGAAGACGGGCCCUGCAGGCAGAAACCUGUUCCAGGUGUCCCCAGGGGGCAGCCCUGCGGAAGGCCAGCAGGCGUUAUCUGAGUGAGCGUCGGAUGAGUCAGCCCCGGGCAGCCUGCAGUGGGUGAACCAGACCUGUUCCCUUCCUCCCCUACUUCCUGUUGGGGCUGAUGUCACAUCACGGCUGAGCGAGCCGCGUGGCCUUUUAUGGACAAGAAUCGGCAGCUCCUCUUUCAGAGGAAGUGAGCAAGAAGGCCCCUCACAGAAGCCUGUAAAGCAUCUACCUGGCCUGAAAUACCUGUGGUUGGGGCUCCACCCCCCCCACCCCCCAACCUGCGCCGGGACCUCCUGAGCUGGCUGGAAACACCUGUGCAUGUGCACAUCAGAAUCGGCUCCAAAAGGCCUCAGGGCAUUUGGGGUUUAAAAUAAAAUCUGGGGAGGGACUGGCCUCAUAACUGGAUAUGUAACUUAAAACCUUUCUCAUUGUUGUUGUUGUGAGGACACCAUGCGUUUGGGAGAGCCGGGAGGUGCAGAGGACGGGGGUCAUUGCGGUCAGUCUCCAAACCCUGCCCUGUGUUUCGGGCUUUAGGCACCCGCCUCAUUUGAUCCUUGGAGCGGUGCUGCCAGGGAACCCUGCCCUCCGAUUGCCCGGAGGCCGGGGGCCAGGCAUCCCGUGGGGACGUGCAGAACGAGGGUGCUGCCCCGGCCUCUAGGGCACCCAGCCAGCGGCUUUCUUCUCUCUCCUGUGGCUCCAGACACAUGGACCGGUAGUUGUAAAGUGUGUUCCCAGGAACCCUCUCUCCACCUCCCAAGCAGCUCUGGUUUUUAUCUCCUACUUUUCAUAUGGGGGACUCAGGAAGAUUUUUUUUUCCUGAGGAAAGGCUGCUGCUGCUUUUAAAGUCUGUAUUGAAUUUGUUACAAUAUUGUUUCAACAUUUUGGCUUUUUGGUAUGUGAGAUCCUAACUCUUCGACCAGGGAUUGAACCAGAAACCCCUGCAUUGGAAGGCAGAGUCUCACCACUUGACCGCCAGGAAAGUCCCUGCUGCGGCUUUUAAGAGAGUUGAAAAUCACUGCAGAGAUUCGUGUUCCUGCCUCUACCCCAUCCCUGCCGAGGCAGGACCAGGGCAGGAGGGGUUCAGGGGCCCUAAGUCAGGCUACUGUCUUCAUCCUGUGGGAGCCUGUUUCCCAGAACAGCAUUUUCUCUGGUGGAUUCACUUCCCUGGUUCUGGGCUGUCGGAUUCCUAUCUGUCUGCCUGUCUGUCUCUGUAGUGGAGGAAGGAAGGGUGUUUUCAAAUAAGCCUUCAUUCCACAUAGACUCAAAUAAAGACUUGAGCAAACAAUGAGUGGGCUGGACUCUCAAGGGUCCGUGUCCCUAGAGAGGACCGUAUGGGGAGAGCUUAUGGAGUGUGUGUUAAGGAGGGUUCUGUCCGGAAUGCACUGGGUCUCUGGCACAGUAAACUGAGCCGGGGGAGAGCCGCUGAGAAUUCCUUCCACUUCCCCCAUCUCCUGCCCGACCCCUGAUGGCUCAGCAGUAAAGAAUCUGUCUGCCAAUGCAGGAGCCCUGGGUUUGAUCCCUGGCUCAGGAAGAUCCCCUGGAGAAGGAAAUGGCAACACACUCCAGUAUUCUUGCCUGGAAAAUCCCACGGACAGAGGAGCCUAGUGGGCUGUGGUCCAUGGAGUCACAAAGAGUUGGGCACGACUAAACAGAAGUGACUAAACAGAAACAAUAGCCCUACCCAGAAGAGAUGCUUCUGAGCGCAGCAACAGAGCCAAAUGUGGUGAGACAGGCUUGUGCAGACCAGAGGCGGUGCCUACCUCACCUGCCUCUUCUGCAGACCUUUCUCUUCUGUAAAAAGAGAGAAAUCGACAGGUUCUGGGGGAUGGUGGGCAGGUGGAUUUAGUGGCAAGAGUUGAGGAAGUCAGAAACACCUCCUCUCAGGUUUCCUCUGCAAAAGUAUUUGCCUCAGCGAAUGUUCUGGUGAAGGAAAUUAAGGUUUCUUUAAAGUGUAAAAUUCAAGGAUUGGAGGGUUUCCUUUUAGGCUGUGUUGACAGUGGUACCUUGGCUUCAGGAGUUGGAGGUGAAAGGUCAGCUAGCAGGGAUAGCUGGAGACGGGGGAGCGGAUGAAGCCAUGAAGUGUUUGGUUCUGGGAGUGGGAUGUGAAGUGUGUGUAGGCCUCUGUGUAAGGCCUCUGUCUGUGUGUGUGCACCCACGGCUGUGCACGUCUACGUGUACAUGUGCCUGUGUGCACACUCAUGGCCCUGCCUAUGCGCCCAGGCACGUCUGGUCUCUGCAUUCAUGUGUAUGCGUGUCCACAUGCAGCUCGUCCAGAGCCCUGUGUGUGUGCGUGUGGGUCUGUGUGCACAGUGUGACUGUGUGUGCGUGCCCACACGUGUGUGUUUGGGGCCCCUGCUUCCUGUUGUUCAGCCGUUCAGCAUCUGACUCCCCCUCACACAAUCAGAGGAAUUCCAGCCGUCCCAGGGACCAGGCCUGGACAGCCCUGGGAAAACGGUUCCGCUGGAAGGGAUGGGAAUGUUUCCUUUUAUGGUAGUCUCAGCCGCCACUGCCUGCCGACUUGCCGCGCCGUGCAGGUACAUUCUUGCCUGCUCCCAGGGAGCGGGACUGAACACGCUAGCUGCUGGGCAGCCUCUGAAAUGCAGCAGGGGUUGGGGGAGGGAGGCCUGACCCCAUCACAGCUGUGUUUUUUCUGUUCUGUGCCGCCCCCCCAGUCCCCUUAUUCUCUUAUUCUGCCCUGGCUUCCCCCACCUUUAGCACCUCCCUCCCACCCCUCCCCCUGCCUUCCCUUCCCUGAUGCCUUAUCGGGGACCCUGCCGGGUCUGU
Molecule: long non-coding RNA, 11102 nt
Organism: Cervus elaphus (red deer)
Lineage: Eukaryota; Metazoa; Chordata; Mammalia; Artiodactyla; Cervidae
Exons: 2
Source: RefSeq, a predicted model, not a curated record